RNAcentral lists this ribosomal RNA (253 nucleotides) under uncultured bacterium. RNAcentral's name for it is "partial 16S ribosomal RNA". It matches the Rfam family "Bacterial small subunit ribosomal RNA", at positions 524 to 776 of the family's 1533-position model. The record is from RNAcentral.
UACGUAGGCAGCAAGCGUUGUUCGGAAUUACUGGGCGUAAAGAGUGUGUAGGCGGUGUUCUAAGUCCGUUGUGAAAUCUCCCGGCUUAACUGGGAGGGUGCGGCGGAAACUGGAAUGCUAGAGGAUGGGAGAGGUAAGCGGAAUUCCUGGUGUAGCGGUGAAAUGCGUAGAUAUCAGGAGGAACACCUGUGGUGUAGACAGCUUACUGGACCAUUUCUGACGCUGAGACACGAAAGCGUGGGUAGCAAACAGG